UGGGUGCUGGGUUGUGCGCCAGUCGCAACAGUCCUCGAGCCGUUAAUCGACACCUAGGGUCCUCGCGCUGGGCGGGAGGUGUGCAUGUCCGACAUUGCAUCGGAAAGCCUGAAUCCCGAACCGUGACGACCCCUCUUGAACCUUAGGGUUCAAGGGCCUCAGCGACAGCGGCAACCUGGUCCAGAG
RNAcentral lists this non-coding RNA (186 nucleotides) under Gammaproteobacteria bacterium. RNAcentral describes it as "6S RNA". It matches the Rfam family "6S / SsrS RNA". Rfam says of the family: E. coli 6S RNA was the first non coding RNA to be sequenced, but its function was unknown until recently. It consists of 184 nucleotides that fold into an extended hairpin structure with a large single-stranded internal bulge. The 6S RNA specifically associates with RNA polymerase holoenzyme containing the sigma70 specificity factor. Lineage: Bacteria; Pseudomonadati; Pseudomonadota; Gammaproteobacteria. The record is from RNAcentral.